Molecule: non-coding RNA, 1714 nt
Organism: Cricetulus griseus (Chinese hamster)
Lineage: Eukaryota; Metazoa; Chordata; Mammalia; Rodentia; Cricetidae
Source: RefSeq, a predicted model, not a curated record
CAUAAAUACAAUCUGCUCCAUCUGUUCAGUUACUUACAUGUAUGUUUUCAUUGGUAUAGAAUGACCAAUCAAUGUGCACUUCCCUGGGGAAGACUGUUUCUCCCUCUCUCAGCAUUCCUGGUUUGCCUGUGGUUCUUAUUCUAGGGUAGAGGCCUCCUGAGCUAUCUCAUGUUCACAUUAGCCUGUCUAUUGGUGCUAUCCUUGUUCAGAUAUACAUAUAAUUAAUGCCAUAGAGGUACUGGGUUUUGUCAGUUAAACAAGGCAAUAGUGUCACCUCCACUUUAGAAGACUGUUUUCAGGUUGUUAGGCAAGAAUACCUAGGAAGAAGGAUGGUGUAAACACUGUUUGCGGAAGUUUAGAAUAAAGGUUAUUAUCCCUGUAUUGUAUUUGUGUGACUUGUUCUUACUAGUAUUCCAGUAAUUAGACUGUGUACUGAAUUUUUAUACAGAUACCCACUUAUAAAAGUUCAUGUAUAAUGACAUGUAUGGAUACAUGCUUACACACAUAUAAAAUCCAUCUUUACCAACCCAUGUUUUACCUUUGAGACUGUGUUCUACAGAUGGGCACUCAUUAGCUAAAGUAUCCAGUGCUCAAUAUUUUAACCUUUUAAACAUCCAUCCCAUUCUAAGUCUUGUAAUUUUUCAGGCUCAAAAAGAGGGGCCACCUUGAGCGUAACUAGUAUCCAAAGUCACACACCCAGUAGUGGCAGAACUCUGGUAUUUUGGAUGGCUUAAUACCCCUUUACAAUAUCAAGUCAAUAGUCCCCUGUUUAACUACUUGUCUGAACAGGUACAUACUUAGUUGCAGAUACUUGGAUAUGUUUUUCAGACAGAGUCUUACUCACUAUGUAGCUCUAGAAUUCACCAUGUAGACCAGAGUAGCCUUUACCACACAGAGAUUUACUUGCCUCUGCCUCCCAAAUGCUGAAUGAGAUUAAAGGCAUGUGCCACCACACUCAGCAAAUAUUUUCUUUUUAAAUAAGUAUAUAUGUAUGUGUGUUUAAAUACAUAUUUAAAUUAUGUGUUUGUGUGUAUACCUGCAUAAGUUUAUGUAUACUAUCUGUGUGCAGGUACCUCAGAGGCCAGAGGAGGCUAUCAAGAUCCCUUGUAACUGGAGUUCCACGUCCUGAACGGCCCCAUCGUCAACAUGGCAGACGAUGAUCCAUAUGGACCUGCGCAGGGGGAAGAAGAAUGCCAAAGUCAAGGUGCUGGCCGGUGUGUUCCUAGCAGCUGUUAUCUCUUGCCUUUUGAGCUUCUAAAGACGGCCUGUCCUCCCCAGAUGAGUCUGCUCAGCACGCCAGACUCCACAGUCCUGCUUCACUGUGAUUUCCAACUCUAAGUAGCACACCAGGAUAACCCUGUCAUUUAGUAGUCUUCCUUCCAUCAGUGCCACGUGCACUCUAUCUUUUGCUACGGAAAGCGUAGGUUCUGGGAAGUAGGUUCCAGGGAGUCACAUGCAAACACCUUUGGAGCCACUGUUCAUUGUACAGCCCUCUAUUAAAUUCCAGGUGUUUUGUACUGUAGUAGACAAGUCAGGUGGAGAAGGGGAAAUGUGAGCUCUGUACUCCAUCAUUUGCUCAGUUGUAUUGUCAGUUUUUAUGUUAGUUGUGUAGCUACUGUGUGUGUGUGUGUGUGUGUGUGUGUGUGUGUCUGUGUGUGUGUCUGUGUGUGUGUGUGUGUGUGUGUGUCUGUGUGUGUGUGUGUGUGUGUGUGUG